UACGGGGGGUGCAAGCGUUGUCCGGAAUCAUUGGGCGUAAAGCGUUCGUAGGCGGCAAGGUAAGUCUGAUGUUAAAGCCUGGGGCUCAACUCCGGUUCGGCAUUGGAUACUAUCUAGCUAGAAUGUGGUAGAGGUAAAGGGAAUUCCUAGUGUAGCGGUGAAAUGCGUAGAUAUUAGGAGGAACACCAGUGGCGAAGGCGGCCUGCUGGGCUUUUACUGACGCUGAGGCUCGAAAGUGUGGGUAUCAAACAGG
This 253-nucleotide ribosomal RNA is filed under the name uncultured cyanobacterium. Its description in RNAcentral is "partial 16S ribosomal RNA". It matches the Rfam family "Bacterial small subunit ribosomal RNA", at positions 524 to 776 of the family's 1533-position model. The record is from RNAcentral. Lineage: Bacteria; Bacillati; Cyanobacteriota.